AUUCCGCUAUGUUGACACUUUCUAACUAUCUCCUUAAACCUUUCCCAUGCUUCAAAAAUAAUUUCAUUCUCUUUCUGGGCAAAAUUAUGGAUUUCUCUUCUAAGCUU
Molecule: non-coding RNA, 107 nt
Organism: Nicotiana attenuata
Lineage: Eukaryota; Viridiplantae; Streptophyta; Magnoliopsida; Solanales; Solanaceae
Source: Rfam